UGGUCUUCAGUCCAUGCAGGGGGUGGGGUGGGGGGAGCGCGGUGGUGAUCAAUGGGCCUAGUCCAGAAGACUCUGUCUGUAUGUCCCAUAGGGAGGUCACAAAGAAGUCCUUAUUGAGGGCAGAUAUCUGGACUCACCACAUUCAGUAACUGGGAGAGAGCUGAGAACUGGAAAUUUGGCUCACCUCUCAUGUUUACAUACAUCAUGAGUGGCAUCAAGUCAUAUCCUUGACUUUAGGAUAUCUGAACCUUUGGAAAUUGUAACUAGAAGUCUUAAAACAUUAGCUACGUAUUGAUUCUCUCACCUUCAGAAAAAUGGAAUGUCCUCUUUCAUAAGAGGUGGAGUUUUCCCAUGUUGCCCAUGCUGGUCUGGAACUCCUGAGCACAGGUGAUCCACCCGCUUCUGCCUCCCAAAGUGCUGGAAUUACAGGCAUGAGUGACUGCGCCUGACCCAUUUCCUUGUUUCUCUUUUCUUUGUUUUUCCCACCUCCCGUAGAAACAACUGAAGAACAGCAGAAUACAACUAUUCGUUCCCUAGGGCGCCUAAAUUUCCCAGUGUUCCUUUAGAAUCUGAUGAGAUGAGGUUUAGAUCUGAUGACCAUCAAAAGUAAUUGGAUUCUUUACAUUGAUUAUAUUAUAGAAUUGUUUUCAGAAAAGAUAGUCAAGAAAUUUUAGGAAAUGUAAUAUAUAACUAAUUGGUAUAGCCUAUAUGCUGUACCAAUAGGAUAUAUAAUAAGAUAUAUAAGCAACGGUUCAUUAAACCAUCUAAAACUUAGGACUCAGGCCAAUCUUUUAAAUCAUUAGGGAUAUUCUCGGCAUGGACCUCAAGAGAUAGAA
RNAcentral lists this long non-coding RNA (836 nucleotides) under Homo sapiens (human). RNAcentral describes it as "HSALNT0373911". The record is from RNAcentral. Lineage: Eukaryota; Metazoa; Chordata; Mammalia; Primates; Hominidae.